Molecule: long non-coding RNA, 341 nt
Organism: Hypanus sabinus (Atlantic stingray)
Lineage: Eukaryota; Metazoa; Chordata; Chondrichthyes; Myliobatiformes; Dasyatidae
Exons: 2
Source: RefSeq, a predicted model, not a curated record
ACCUCUCCUCAGGAUUGGAGAGCAAGGGGGCAGAAGCCAGACACUAUGCCUGUCAUCAAGUCGCCUCUCCGGACAUCCCACCCUGCAAAAACUCACUUCAGGGAGGUAGCAGCACCCGCCCCAGAUCGACCUCCAAGGGUAAGGUGAAGAGAGAAGAUACUGGAGCAGAGCCAUGACCUGAGAAAGGCCGGGAGAUCGAAGGAGGAGCGGCGAAGGGGAAGCCACAAGCUCCAACGUGUGCGCAUUAGACGGUUUCAUUAAAAUGGGCCCUUUUCUUUUUGUUUUUCUUUACUAACCCUCUAGUCAAAUUAAGAAUUAUAAAGCUAAAUCAUUUAAUUGCC